GGGGAAUAUUGCACAAUGGGGGAAACCCUGAUGCAGCGACGCCGCGUGAGUGAAGAAGUAUUUCGGUAUGUAAGCUCUAUCAGCAGGGAAGAAAUGACGGUACCUGACUAAGAAGCCCCGGCUAACUAC
RNAcentral lists this ribosomal RNA (129 nucleotides) under uncultured bacterium. RNAcentral describes it as "partial 16S ribosomal RNA". It matches the Rfam family "Bacterial small subunit ribosomal RNA", at positions 356 to 504 of the family's 1533-position model. The record is from RNAcentral.